UUCAACAACAGAUCCGACACACCCUUCACCAAACAAUUUACCGAUAAACACAGAUCCGACACACCCUUCACCAAACAAUUUACCGAUAAACUUGCAAAAUAAAAAUCAUUGGUCAACCCCUUUGUAUACAGGAACCAACAGACCCACCUUUUGCAUCUCUUCAAAACAAUAACCAAUCACUCACCGUCACACUUCACCAUCCCACCGAUUCACCACCGCAAACAUCAUCUCCGAGCUCCACCGUACACCCUAACCCACCGGCAAACAUCCACCGUCUCCUCACCACACUCUCCGUCUCCGUUCACGGGUCAGCCACUGCCGUUCAACCCACCAUCUUCACCGCCUGUCGUCAUCAUCGUCACCGUUCACCUUCACCGCCUUCCUCAACCAUCCUCUUCAUCGACACCUCCGGCUCACCGCACAACCACCGACGUUCAUCAUCAUAACCAACAUCAACGUACAACAACCACCACAGACCACCACAACCAUUCUAAACACCACCUUCUUCCGUCGAGACUACACCUCCACUAUACAUCCACCUUCGAACCACCAACUCUGCCGUACACCGGAUUCCACCAUAACCACCUCCGCCGUGGAUCUUCAAUAAUUGACAUCGUUGAAGGUUCCGAUUUGGUUGUGCUCGAUUGAUUUAGAGGAUCUGAAAGAAAGUGGUGUUGUGUGAUUUGCUAGGCGGCGGCUGCAACAUAUGUUUUAGGGUUUUGUUGUGUGUUACAUUGAGAGAGAAAAUAGAGAAAGAAAGAAAGAAGUUUGAUUGUUGUUUCUGUGUAUUCGAUGGGAGGGAGAGAGUCAAAGUAGGCAGAAGUCUGUUUGAAUUAUUUUAGAGCUUGGUAGGUAGGUGAGGAUGAUUUAAAAGAAGGAAAAAGUUAAAAUAGCGGCUUCAAAGUUUUUAGGGUUUGAAUUGCUUCAAGUUUUCAUGGGCUAGGGUAUUUGUUGGGCCUACGUCUCAAGUUCAAGAAAGAAAGUGGCUGUUGGAUGCUAGGUGGAAUUGAGUUUUAGGUGCACUUGUAGCUGAACGGGUCUUAAAUUCGUUACAAGUUCGUUUGUGUCCAGAGCGGGCCGGGUAUUUAUCAACUAUUUUAAAAUAUUUGGGCUGGGUAUCAAUACUUUUAAGAAAAAGUUUGGGCCACUUAAUCAAAAUUAAAUUUUUGGGCCGGAAUUUGUUAGUUUAAAAUUGUAAACUAAGUUGGUUGGAGUUCGAUUUGGGCUGUAAUUGAAUGUGUGGCUAAAAAGGAGUUAUUA
Molecule: long non-coding RNA, 1260 nt
Filed under: Helianthus annuus (common sunflower)
Lineage: Eukaryota; Viridiplantae; Streptophyta; Magnoliopsida; Asterales; Asteraceae
Description: hypothetical non coding rna
Source: RNAcentral